This 384-nucleotide ribosomal RNA is filed under the name uncultured bacterium. RNAcentral's name for it is "bacterial SSU rRNA". It matches the Rfam family "Bacterial small subunit ribosomal RNA", at positions 29 to 416 of the family's 1533-position model. The record is from RNAcentral.
AUUGAACGCUGGCGGAAUGCUUUACACAUGCAAGUCGAGCGGCAGCGCGGGGCAACCUGGCGGCGAGCGGCGAACGGGUGAGUAAUGCAUCGGAACAUGUCCAUGUCGUGGGGGAUAGCCCGGCGAAAGCCGGAUUAAUACCGCAUACGCCCGAGAGGGGAAAGUGGGGACCGCAAGGCCUCACGCGAUUGGGUUGGCCGAUGUCCGAUUAGCUAGUUGGUGGGGUAAAGGCUUACCAAGGCGAUGAUCGGUAGCUGGUCUGAGAGGAUGAUCAGCCACACUGGGACUGAGACACGGCCCAGACUCCUACGGGAGGCAGCAGUGGGGAAUUUUGGACAAUGGGGGCAACCCUGAUCCAGCCAUUCCGCGUGAGUGAAGAAGGCC